AUUGAACGCUGGCGGCAUGCCUUACACAUGCAAGUCGAACGGCAGCACGGGUGCUUGCACCUGGUGGCGAGUGGCGAACGGGUGAGUAAUACAUCGGAACAUGUCCUGUAGUGGGGGAUAGCCCGGCGAAAGCCGGAUUAAUACCGCAUACGAUCUACGGAUGAAAGCGGGGGACCUUCGGGCCUCGCGCUAUAGGGUUGGCCGAUGGCUGAUUAGCUAGUUGGUGGGGUAAAGGCCUACCAAGGCGACGAUCAGUAGCUGGUCUGAGAGGACGACCAGCCACACUGGGACUGAGACACGGCCCAGACUCCUACGGGAGGCAGCAGUGGGGAAUUUUGGACAAUGGGCGAAAGCCAGAUCCAGCAAUGCCGCGUGUGUGAAGAAGGCCUUCGGGUUGUAAAGCACUUUUGUCCGGAAAGAAAUCCUUGGCCCUAAUACGGUCGGGGGAUGACGGUACCGGAAGAAUAAGCACCGGCUAACUACGUG
Molecule: ribosomal RNA, 486 nt
Filed under: uncultured bacterium
Lineage: Bacteria
Description: partial 16S ribosomal RNA
Rfam family: Bacterial small subunit ribosomal RNA
Source: RNAcentral